RNAcentral lists this ribosomal RNA (379 nucleotides) under uncultured eukaryote. RNAcentral describes it as "partial 18S ribosomal RNA". It matches the Rfam family "Eukaryotic small subunit ribosomal RNA", at positions 592 to 976 of the family's 1831-position model. The record is from RNAcentral.
CAAUAGCGUAUAUUUAAGUUGUUGCAGUUAAAAAGCUCGUAGUUGGAUUUCGGAGGGGAUUUGCCGGUCCGUCGUUACGAUGUGCACUGGCCAGUCCUAUCUUGUUGUCGGGGACUAGCUCCUUGGAUUCACUUCCUGGGACUAGGAGCUGACGAGGUUACUUUGAGUAAAUUAGAGUGUUCAAAGCAAGCCUACGCUCUGAAUACAUUAGCAUGGAAUAACACGAUAGGACUCUGGCUUAUCUUGUUGGUCUGUGAGACCAGAGUAAUGAUUAAGAGGGACAGUCGGGGACAUUCGUAUUUCAUUGUCAGAGGUGAAAUUCUUGGAUUUAUGAAAGACGAACUUCUGCGAAAGCAUUUGUCAAGGAUGUUUUCAUUAA